Molecule: transfer RNA, 71 nt
Filed under: Glomus cerebriforme
Lineage: Eukaryota; Fungi; Glomeromycota; Glomeromycetes; Glomerales; Glomeraceae
Rfam family: tRNA
About the family: Transfer RNA (tRNA) molecules are approximately 80 nucleotides in length. Their secondary structure includes four short double-helical elements and three loops (D, anti-codon, and T loops).
Source: Rfam by way of RNAcentral
GGGAAUUUAGCUUAAUGGUAGGCAAUCGAUUGCAAAUUGAUAGGUCACUGGUUCAAAUCCAGUAGUCCCCU